UACGGGGGGAGCAAGCGUUGUUCGGAUUUACUGGGCGUAAAGGGCGCGUAGGCGGUCAGCACAAGUCAGUUGUGAAAUCUCCGAGCUUAACUCGGAAAGGUCAACUGAUACUGUGCGACUAGAGUGCGGAAGGGGCAACUGGAAUUCUUGGUGUAGCGGUGAAAUGCGUAGAUAUCGGAAGGAACACCAGUGGCGAAAGCGGCUUCCUGGUCCAGCACCGACGUUCAGGCACGAAAGCGUGGGGAGCAAACAGG
RNAcentral lists this ribosomal RNA (254 nucleotides) under uncultured bacterium. Its description in RNAcentral is "partial 16S ribosomal RNA". It matches the Rfam family "Bacterial small subunit ribosomal RNA", at positions 524 to 776 of the family's 1533-position model. The record is from RNAcentral.